AGUCAAUGCAAAACUCAGAUGUCUUCCACCUCUACUUAUCUGACUGCAGAGAUGAUGACAGAGAACAGUGGACACACAGUUUAACAUGAUGGACUAUAGGACAGGACUGCUGCUGUUAACUAUCUGCUGGGCAGGUGUUGAUGGUCAGACUCUGACAGAAUCUGAACCAGUGGUUAAAAAGCCUGGAGAAUCUCACAGAUUGACCUGUACAGCCUCUGGAUUCACAUUCAGCAACUACGAGAUGAACUGGGUCAGACAGGCUCCUGGAAAAGGACUGGAGUGGAUUGCUUAUAUCAGCAGUGGCAGUGGUAGCAUCUACUACUCUCAGUCAGUUCAAGGCCGGUUUACCAUCUCCAGAGACAACAGCAGACAGCAGGUGUAUCUACAGAUGAACAGUCUGAAGACUGAAGAUUCUGCUGUUUAUUAUUGUGCUCGAGAGCCACAGUGACUGGAGUUGGUUGAGCAGCUGUACAAAAUCCUACAGUACUCAUCUUAGUGCUCUAUCUGCACACAUUGAAACCAUUAAAAGUAUUUUAUGCAAACCA
Molecule: non-coding RNA, 545 nt
Organism: Dicentrarchus labrax (European seabass)
Lineage: Eukaryota; Metazoa; Chordata; Actinopteri; Moronidae
Source: the annotation of a RefSeq genome assembly